GACGAACGCUGGCGGCGUGCUUAACACAUGCAAGUCGAACGGAAAGGCCUCUUUCGGGGGGUACUCGAGUGGCGAACGGGUGAGUAACACGUGAGUAACCUGCCCUUGACUUUGGGAUAACUUCAGAAAACUGGGGCUAAUACCGGAUAGGAGCUCCUGCUGCAUGGUGGGGGUUGGAAAGUUUCGGCGGUUGGGGAUGAACUCGCGGCUUAUCAGCUUGUUGGUGGGGUAGUGGCUUACCAAGGCUUUGACGGGUAGCCGGCCUGAGAGGGUGACCGGCAACAUUGGGACUGAGAUACGGCCCAGACUCCUACGGGAGGCAGCAGUGGGGAAUAUUGCACAAUGGGUGGAAGCCUGAUGCAGCAACGCCGUGUGCGGGAUGACGGCCUUCGGGUUGUAAACCGCUUUCGCUCAUGACGAAGCUUUGUGUGACGGUAGUGGGUAAAGAAGCACCGGCUAACUACGUG
RNAcentral lists this ribosomal RNA (467 nucleotides) under uncultured bacterium. Its description in RNAcentral is "partial 16S ribosomal RNA". It matches the Rfam family "Bacterial small subunit ribosomal RNA", at positions 28 to 507 of the family's 1533-position model. The record is from RNAcentral.